UCUCAUUAGUCGGGGUGCCAUUUGGCUGAGAUAAUACCCGUUGAACCUGAUUCAGUUAAUACUGCCGUAGGAAACUAAAUAUGCAAAAUU
This 90-nucleotide non-coding RNA is filed under the name Pseudohaemophilus minor. Its description in RNAcentral is "Actinobacillus minor TPP sequence". It matches the Rfam family "TPP riboswitch aptamer (THI element)". From Rfam's summary of the family: Vitamin B(1) in its active form thiamin pyrophosphate (TPP) is an essential coenzyme that is synthesised by coupling of pyrimidine and thiazole moieties in bacteria. The previously detected thiamin-regulatory element, thi box was extended, resulting in a new, highly conserved RNA secondary structure, the THI element, which is widely distributed in eubacteria and also occurs in some archaea. Lineage: Bacteria; Pseudomonadati; Pseudomonadota; Gammaproteobacteria; Pasteurellales; Pasteurellaceae. The record is from RNAcentral.